UUGUAGACGUUAUCUCGCGCUGGGUACUUCAGUGUAAGGACGCAAUGGGUGUCUUUUAGGUUUUCACCUUUUAUGAGAGUCUGAUAGGAUUUGAGGUGCGGGUGGAGAGUUGUCGGGGUGGAGGGAGAAAGGGAUGGGGUGAGCAAGGGAGAGAGACGGCACGUGCGCCGCGCAGGUGCCCGAAUUGGCCGCGUCGCCCGGGACAUAGCGUGGGCUUCUGCGCGCGCCCCCGUGGGAGUGAGAGUGGGUGCGCGCCCGCGGUGGGAGCCACGGCAGUGCAGCUGCGGGUUGUGCGUGCGCGGAGCUGACAGGAGCGGUUUGCGCCUCUCCAGGCGCGUGCCCGGGUCGGGGCCGUGACCCCGGUGAGCAGUUACGCACCGGUGUGACUCAGUGACAAGUGCGCGCACCUCCAGCCUUGCAGGGUUGAAGGCAGAGCUUGGGAUGGAGGGCAGGUGAGACCCAUGAGAUGGGAGGUUCCCAGGAUUAGGGUGCAUUCUCUCAAGAGUCAGCCAGAGCCCUGCUCCCCUCAGUCGCUUUCCAGCCCCCAAAUUGCCGCCUCUCCCGCGUGUUAUAUUCCAACAUUCUCUUGUCUCUAACCCCCGUGAGUCCUUUAUAGGGAGGAUUGAGAAUGAAGGGUGAUGCGGGACCUUUGAGCUUCUGAAGCUGUCAAGAGGGUUGAACCCCGGGUCAUCGGGUUCAUACAUUAGUGAUUGACCGAGGCUUCUGCCCUGGGGGACAUAGGAGUGUCAGGCGUGGCUGGGGAGAUAAGGAUGAUGAAGCUUGAUGUGGAGGGACCAGAUGUCAGGAGCUGCAGGGACCCAGACGCUACAAGUGCUCCAAGCCAGGACACGGGGGAAAGAUCAGUACUUACUGAGCAGUUGGCAUGGACUCUGCAUUUCCAGGCAGCAUCUCAAAUUCCUCCUCUGUAAUGUGGGGGUAGUAGCAGAAUCUGCCCUAUAUUGGUGAAGAUAAAUGAGGUAAUACAGAAAGUGUUCACCAAGCAGUAAACUAUCAUAGUUUUCACCCCAUUUAGUUUUCAUAACCAGGGAUGGCUUUCCUUUGGUGACCAGGUCUAAUUUUUCUUUUUCUUUAUUUCUUUCUAUAUUUUUUACAGAUUUUAUUUUAUUUUUGUUUGACAGAGACAGCAAGAGAGAAAAUCCAAGCAGGGGGAGUAGGAAAGGGAGAAGCAGGCUUCUCACUGAGCAGGGAGCCCUGAUGCGGGGUUUGAUCACAGGACCCUGGGAUUAUGACCUGAGCCAAAGGCAGAUGCUUAACCGACUGAGCCACCCAGGUUACCCCUAAUUUUUCUUUUAAAGCGAGGAGUGGGGUGAGAGUUUGAAAACCUCAGGCAACCUACUGAUAGUCUGUAAGUCAGUUCCCAAUUUGGGCAUGGUUUUGUACCUCAGAGAACACUUGGCACUCUCUGGAGACAUUUUUGGUUGUCACAACAAGGAGGCAGGGGAAGGGUGUGACUGGUAUUUGGUAGGUAGAGGCCAAGGAUGCUUCCAAACAUAGUGUGUACGGGCUGGUGUCUCACUGUAAAGAAUUAUCUGGUUCAAAACAGCCAUGCCAAAGGUGAGAAACCUUGAUCUAAGUGGUAUUCUACUGUGAUGUACAUUGGUUUUCUCACCCAAAAACUAGUAUCUGGUUCACAGGUUCAGGUGUUUCUGUGUUGGUUUUAGUUUCCUACUUUGCAAGUUUCUUUCACUAAGUACUUGAGCAGGUCGGAACACCACCCACAUACUUUCAGCUGAGACAUUGGUAAAAAAAGGUUUACCUCAAACUGGGCAUCAGGGACAGAAAGAAGACGUGAAAACCUACCUGCCAGUUGAUGCCCUGCACCGCUUGCUUAGUUGCGUGACCUUGAAGCACAGCAGGAGGAGAGCAGCAGGCAGUGGGAGAGAGAGAAGAAAAAAAGGUGCCUGCAGUAGGGAGCCCAAGGUGGGGCUUGCAUGACCUGAGCUGAAGGGACAAGCUUAACUGACUGAGCCACCCAGGCAUCAGAGGUGGAAAACGUUACACAUUUUCCAAGGUGACUUGAGAUGAGGAUUGACUGCUAAUGGAGUAAAUAUUUUAUGACAUGACUCAAAUAGGCUUUAAGUACCUAAGAGAAAAAUGCAUAUCAAUUCUAAUGAGGACCAUUAAUUUUUAUUCAGUGUAACUUGAAAAAACUUUCUCCUGAGAACAUUGCAGUUGAAUUAAAAAAAAAAAAUUAGCUCUAUUAACUCAUGCUUUGGUUAUUCUGAAUGUAAAACAUCUCAACGUGAACCAACCAUCACCUUAAAUGACUAGAAUAGAAAUACACUUCCAUGAGGGGAGUUGUGUGUAGACACCCCACUUGGAAGACCUCUGCUAGAUAAAAGAGGUUCUAUGUACCAGGAACCUGCCAGGAGGAAGGGACCUGUUCCCAGGGCGAUCCAGGGAGUCCAGACUCCUUGGGGGAGACUCUAGGUCUCCCAAGUCACUGUAGGCCCUACUCGUUAUACGUGUACCACACAGGAGCCAGACAAAGCUUACUUCUGCCAAAUGAAAAUAUAACUUAUUAAAUGAGACUUGGAAACGUCACUUGGGAAAUGUGGGUGUAUUAAUUUGAAUCAUGUCAUAUGCAUGGGAGUUGCUGCUAGCGUAAGAUGUCAGGUUUUUUUUUUUUUUUUUUUUUUUUCCUUGAAAUCUUAUGUAACUUUGGGGAACAGUAUGCAGUUGAUAUCAUCCUACCUGGUUCACCUUUCAACAGUAGUGAAAUGGACUUUUCUGUUUUUUGAGGAAUAGGAACAUUUAUGCUCCCACACCUACAGUCACAUGAUUAUGCUUCCAAAAUUUUUUUUUAGUGAUUGAGUUCAUAAUUAAAUUUUCUCCCCAGGAGCCCAAAUGACAGUCACACUUUGUCUUAAGUCAUAACCCUUGUGUUUCCAGGGCACCUGGGUGACUCAGUCUUUUAAGUGUCUGCCUUUGGCUCAGGUCAUGAUCCCAGCGUCCUGGGAUCGAGGCCUGUGUCGGGCUCCUUGCUCAGCAGGAAGCCUGCUUCUCCCUCUCCCACUCCCUCCCUCGCUCUCAGUCAAAUAAAUAAAUAAAAUCUUAAAAAAAAAAAGCCACGCAAAACCCCGUAUUUGCAAUAGGGAUUGAUUAUAAAACGAGGGAUCAGAAGAUAAAAGCUUGUUGCCGUCCACAAAAACGUGCCUGUCAUAUUUCUUGUGGAGUCGGAGGGGUUCUUUUUAUUCUGCUCUCCAGGAAACAGCCCACAUUUUCAACAGCAGCCUUUCCUGUCCUGCAAGAGGAGGGGGAACUCUGGAGAAGUAGGCCUGCGUGUCCUAACACUGGGUGUUGUGUGUCCAACACACUCCCUUUGUUGGUGGCCCCACGGAAACUACCAGAUGCAGCCGACUCCUGCAUGAAGAAUUACACUCCUGAGCAUACAUACACCGUGGAAGACUCCUUGCUCCUCCAAGCUCACUGACCCCUGCCUAGGAAGGGGAAAUAGAGUCGUUAUUGAGGCUGUGCUGGCACCUCCGACUUAACAGAGCAGCUGGACACUGGUGGAUGCAGCAGGACUCAGGAACGGUCCACACCUGGCCGCAUUCACAGCUGAGAAAUAGGGAUUAGUAUGAGCCCCGCUGUUUUCAGUGAAUACUUUCGUAAACUGCUGCUGGGCCAACUCUACCAGCAUGUUGCAAAGACUGGUUUUAGUCCUCAGGGCUCCUGAGACAUACUUGAUCAUCAGUUGUGAUCAUCUUCUGUGUGAGAAUGGGGUGCGUUUUCCACCAUAUCUGGGUGUUUCUUCUCAUUUUGAUUAAAGGUGGGGCAUCUGAAUUUGGAGUGCCACUCAAAAGUCGGCUUGGUAUUUUACGAACAACACUCUUUUGUAUGCUGUCUUUCCAGCUGGAAAGCUAAGAGGAAUUCUACCAGCAGGUAGUUCUUCCUUAUUCCUGCCCCACAAUACGGAAUUUGCUACUGACACUCAAUUCUUGUCUCCGUGCUUCAGAAUUGAAGGAUAUUCUGUCCCCAGUCACAUUCCGUUUUGUUCCACAUUUGAGAUUCAGUACUGAGCUUGCUUCUGUAAUGAGAUAAUUUUUUGGUUCAUCUAAAAAUACGCUCGCCGAGUUAGUGACAGGGACACCAGCCUGUGUGUGACUCUUCAGUGCCCUUUGACUACCCCUACCCACCUCAGGGCCUUUGCACCUGCUGUUCCCUCUGCCCAGCCACCUAGCAGAGAUAGCCUCCAUCCAUUUCCUUCUCUACCCCUUUCGAUGUAUAGGUUCUUAAUGCUCACUGAAACCUUUUUCUUGCCUGUCUUCCCACCAGAAUGUGGGUUUCCGGGGAGUAGAGGUUUUUGCUGAUUUUGCUUGUGGCAGCUUUGUUGGUUUGCACAGUAAUCCUGGCACAGAAGUGAUGCUUAGUGACUAGAGUUGAACAAAUACUCAGCCUUUGUGCUGGGUAAUGCUGGGGACCCAGGGCUGAGCUGGGCCAAGGCCUGCCCCACUCCCUGUGUUGUGAGGGAAGGAGAUCUAGACACAGAUCAUUCCCAGUCUGGGGGCCAGAGCAGUGACAGCUGAGAUACCGGGGGCCAGGAGGGCUGAGGCAGAUAGGGGAGGAUGUGGAGGAGAGGAGAACUUGCGGUGGCUGAGGACGAGCAGGAGUGUAUCAGGUUGCAAAUCCUUCUAGCACUCACUCUUCAUCAUUCAUUUCCUGGGCCCCCCUGUGCCAGGGGCCGAGAUGAGUCAGUCCUGAACCCUGUUCUCUGCAAGCUCCUAGUCUGAUGGGGGCAGUUGAUAGGACAAUCACAAUCCAGGAUGACAGACUGUGGUGGAGGUAGAUAGGCUGUGUAAGCCUCUAGGAGCUACUUGCUGCCCGUUACAGGGAAGAGCAGCACCCAGAAUGAACAGGAGUCACGUAGGUCCCUUUCAUACAGGACGCUGGAGAUAUGAUCAGACCUGGCACAGUCUGGAAUGAUCUGGAGCCGGUCGCAUUGCAUAUUGCGUGUCCUAGCGCAGUAACCCACUGAGCUUGAUCUCAUGUAGUGCCCAUUACAGACAAGGACAUUGAGCCUUAGAGAGUCACCCAGGGGAGCAACCAGCUGGGGUCCACUGUGACCAUGGGGUUUGGAGGCAACCAGUUGGAAGAGAUGAGGCUGGAGAGGUGCACAAGGCAGGGUCUUCAUGCAGGUGGUGCACCUUGAGCAGCUGCGCUGUUCUCUCACCCUGGCCCCCCUUCCAGUGCGCAGUCAGGGAGGGUAGGUGCAGGCCCCUGCGACUGAGGUAUAUGGGGUAAAGGUAGGCUUUGCAAAAUGGGAAGAAUAACCUUCUGUUUCCUUUCUCAGAAUGGAACAGCAGAGGGGGCUCCUGUUAUUAUUUCUGGGGCUACAGCUGCUGCUAAUGGGGGCGUUACUCUACCAGAACCACCACCGCCACAGCCUUGCCCUCUUCUUGCGUGUCCUGAGACGGGACAGGCCAGUGGUGGGAGAAGAGUUGCCCUUUUUGGUCUCAGUCUCCUCUGCAGGGACCUCUUCCCAGGAUGUAUACGCCAACCUCAGCGAGAUCCACCCUGUGGACCGUAGGAAGGAGGACCUGCCCAGCUGCCCCCUCAUCUCCCCCUACAUCAAUGGCCCCUUGAGGGUGAUGAUCCCAGAGAACCUGACGAUGGAGCAGGUGGUGAAGAAGAACCCGCUGGUGGAGCUGGGAGGCCAGUACCAGCCUCCUGAUUGCUGGACACGACAUCACACGGCGGUCGUGGUGCCCUACUAUGGGCAAGACCAGCACCUGCAGCACCUGCUCUUCCACCUGCACCCCUUCCUGCAGCGCCAGCAACUGCACUACGCCAUCUACCUGGUGAACCAGGUGCACAACACUGCCUUCAACCGGGGCAAGCUGCGCAACGUGGGGUUCUGGGAGGCCAUGCAGGAGGAGGAAUGGGACUGUCUUUUCUUCCAUGAUGUGAACCUCCUCCCAGAGGAUGACCGCAACCUCUACAUCUGCGACAUCUUCCCUGCCCAUGUGUCUGUGGCCAUCGACAAGUUCGACUACAAGCUACCCUACCGUGGCUACCUUGGGGGUGUGUUUGCCCUGCGUCCCAUUCACUACCUGAAGAUCAACGGCUUCCCCAAUUCGUACCAGGGAUGGGAUCGUGAGGACCAUGACAUCGCUGCCAGGUGGGAGGCCCUGCUUAAGGAACCUAGCACGGGGCUGCAGGUCCCCCCAUGGUGUGGGAGACACAGGCCACUGUCGCCUGAAGGGCUGAGUGUGGCAUGGGUUCCCUGUCAGAGGCAGGCAUCUGGCCUCCCUGCCCUCUCCCCCUGUAAGGCUGCAACUGAGCGGGAUGUUUCUCUCCCGACCCCAUCUGCUCUUUGGCCGCUACCACAUGCUGGAGGGGCAGGACCCCAGCCACCAGCGGAGCCCCCAGAGGUUCUCUUCAUGUGGCUCUAAGUGCUGACCACACACCCACCGGCUCAUGAAAACCUGCGGUGCAGGCACUGUUAGCAUCAUUCUUUAGAAACCCAGGGCAGAGGAGCUAAACACUUGUGUGACUGACAUUUGAUCAAAUUUGGGUACCUGGCUCCUAGGCCCAUGCCCCAGAAGAGCAGGCAGCCUGGCUGCUGUCCUGUAGCAACAAAAGCGGCAAGAACAAAUGAAUAGUAAAACCUGUGAGGACGGUCCAGCCACUGAACAGACGCACGGCAGCAGGGAGAACUGAGGUGCCCACGUUCGUGUGUGGUGUGAUCCGGUGCUUCUAGAGGACAGAGUUCCCACCCGGGUACAGGAUUAUCAGCGCAGGCCUUCCCACACUGAGAACAUACAUAAGGCUUCUCUCCCGUGUGAAUCCGCUGAUGCACUUGGAGCUGUGGUUUCCGGCCGAAGGAUUUCCCACAGUCAUAGCAUUCAUAAGGCUUCUCCCCAACAUGCGUUCUCUGAUGUGCCACCAACUCAGAUUUCUGGAGAAAGGCAUUCCCACAUUUGUAACAGGCGAAGGUUUUCUCUCUGGUGUGCGUCAUCUGGUGUUUGUGGAAAUUUGAUCUGCCAUUGAAGGCCUUCCCACAUUCGGUGCACACAUAGGGUUUCUCUCCAGUGUGAAUCCGCUGAUGCUCCUUGAACUGUGACUUGGAAGUGAAGGCUUUCCCACAGUCGCCACAUUUGUAAGGCUUCUCCCCGGUGUGAGUUCUCUGAUGCAUGCUGAGUAUGGACUUCUGGUUGAAGGCUUUCCCACAGUCGCCGCAUACGUGUUGUCUUUCUCCGGUGUGAAUUUUCUGGUGGAUGUUGAGGUGUGAUUUUUGGGUGAAGGCUUUUCCACAGUUACCACAUUCAUAAGGCUUCUCCCCGGUAUGAAUUCGGUGAUGGAUAUCAAGCUGUGACUUGGAAAUGAAGGCUUUCCCACAAUUGUGGCACGGGUAAGGUUUCUCUCCGGUGUGCCCUCUCUGAUGCACGGUCAAGUGCGCCUUCUGGACGAAGGCCUGUCCGCACUCAAUGCACACAUAGGACUUCUCCCCCGAGUGGAUUCUCUGGUGCAAGCUGAGCGUUGACUUCUGGGUGAAGGCCUUCCCGCAUUCACCACAUGUGUACUGGCGCUCACCCGUAUGAAUCUUCUGAUGGAUGGCGAGGGUUGAAUUCUGGGAGAAGCCUUUCCCACAUUCACUGCAUUCAUAGAGUUUCCCACUAGUGUGAGUCCUCUGGUGUCUGAAAAGAGAUAAUGUCUGGAAAAAGGCUUUCCCACAUUCAUGGCAUUUAUGGGACUUCCUUCUCGUGUGAGUUUUCUGGUGUGUCAUCAGUUCUGCUCUCUGAACGAAGACCUUCCCACACUCCUUGCAGAUGUUAGCUGUGUGAGCUGUCGGAUACACACCCAGCUUUGGUUGUAGGGUGAAGCCCUUGGUACAUCUGCUGCACUCCUGGAGGUUUUCUACACUAUGGAAUCUCUGCUGCUCAAGGGGCGGCUUCUGGGGGAAGCCCCUGCCACACUCAGCGCAUUUAUGGAGUCUCUCCUGAUUACGAAUUUGGUGCUGCGUGCGUGACUGUUUAUGGCUGAGGACUUUCGGACGUUGAUUCCCUUCGCAGUUCUCUCCUGGAUGAAUGUGCUUGUAGCUGGCCCGGGAAGAGCUACGGGUGAACAGCCGGCCAGAGCCAGCCAGCUCACCGAGGUGUUCUGUGCUGUUGCUUUGAGUCUGAUGAUUCACGUCUGGAUUAGGCUUCAAACUCUUGGCAACUGAGCAGUGUUUAGGAGGUCUGCUUUGUGAACAAACAAGGUGAGGCCUCACAUGAAUGAUUCUUCCUGGGUCCUUCCGCUCCCAGUCUCUCUCUCUAUCCAGUGUCUUCCUGUCAAGGAAGGCCCCAUGCCAUGCAGGUUCAUCUUGCUUCUGCCGACGCCUCGCUGCACGGCCACUGUGUCCCCACAGGUCUUCUGAAAUGGAACACCACGUACCACCUCUUGUGACUUCACUUUCCUUACCGUUGUGAAAUGAAGCCUUUUCAAAUAUUUUCUGUUGGGAGGUUUUAAGUCCCAAUGCCCCUUCUAGAAGAAGAGGAAGAAGAUGAAAGGAACACGAGUUAGGACAGGAUGGAGGAGAAACCAUAGGAGUGGACUGAGGGCGAACAUGAAUUGCUGAGUCACGGUAGUAACGAUGAUGGGAGGGCGGCGCCGCGCAGGAGACACCCACCCUGCCUUCGCUUCAUGUCGCCUGUCUGCGUACAGCACAGAGCACGUGUGCAACAGCGCUCUGCGUCGCGCGGAAACUCUUCAAUCCUCACAACCCUGCAUGCGUAACUGCGCUUACUCUCCAUUUCAUAGAACAGGAGGCGGCAAAGAGUCUCUAAGUAACUGACCAAAAUCACCUCCCGGAGCUCUGGGGAAAAUUAGAACAAAAGACAAGCCAGCUCCACCUAAUGCAGGCCUGCAGUCUAGAAACCCGGAGACACCAACACCUACGAUGACAGAAAAUACAGACAGGGGUGUGACACGUGGGAAGAGCCAAGGCUUGAAAAGGAGGGGCUCUGAGGGCAGCUCUUCAUCAGCUUUCAGAUCUAAACUGUCACUAACCCACCAGUUUCCUCUCACUUGUUAGAAACGAUAACAAACCCAGCUGCCCUGUUAAUCCUCUGGAGAAGUAAGAAAGCUCCAAUCCUGACACUGCCAGGCAGGGAAAGGACACCUGUGCCCAGACUCAACUCUCCAGGAAGCUGAAAUUUGUUUGCUUGAACCGAUAAACUUAUGACCCAAUGAAUCCAUUGUACUUUUUUUGGAAGAGUGGACAAGGGGUGGCUCAGUGGGUAAAGCCUCUGCCUUUGGCUUAGGUCAUGGUCUCAGGGUCCUGGGAUCAAGCCCCACAUCAGGCUCUCUGCUCAGCAGGAAGCCUACUUCUCCCUCUUCCUCUGCCUGCCUCUCUGCCUACUUCUGCAUGGUCAAAUAAAUAAAUAAAAUCUUAAAGAAGUUGACAAUUAA
RNA transcript from Mustela lutreola (European mink), 9417 nucleotides. It is a transcript of the gene named beta-1,4-galactosyltransferase 3-like, with no coding region annotated. The transcript has 7 exons. The record is from RefSeq and is a predicted model, not a curated record. NCBI's taxonomy places the organism in Eukaryota, Metazoa, Chordata, Mammalia, Carnivora, Mustelidae.